UCUAAUUUUAGUUAAUUAUGAUAAGCUUUCUAUGAAUGCCUGAUCUUCUCAACCCAAUAAGACAGAGAAAGAUACGUAUCUGUAUCUUUGGGCAGUUGCAAACUACAUUAAGGUGUCUAAACUACAGGAGACUAAACUAAAUAUAGAGGCAGAGCAAAAACCUUGCUAGUCAGUGCUGUCUGUAUUUAUGUGCAGUCAUAUGUGUGUGUCUGCGUGUCUGUGCGUGAGGUGUCUUUGUCUAUAUGAAUUUUAGGGUGUCUGUCUGCAUGGUCUCCGAGGUGAUGACUGUUGUGCUCACACCCACUUACACACCCACUCACGCUCCCACUAAUGCACGAGGCUGUUUGUUUUGACUGUGCUUGACAGUGAGUGAUGGCUGAUUGACAGCCUCAGCUGAUUUUUGUGCUACUAAAACUGCAGCCAUCCAGCUCCACACAAUUCAACCACUCUUUUUGCCAGUCUGCCACCACAGAGUUAGCAACAGUCUGCGUUUUGCCUCCCUCACUUCUCCAAGCCAGUCGCACUGCACUGCGGCAAGCAGGGGAAGCAGACACACACUCACCACUCCACUCCCAGAUUUUUUGGAAGGGGAGAGAAGAGGAGCAAGCAAAGCCUUGACAUAACUACGAUAUUUUUGCGCUUCUUGAUGGAGAGCUGCUGUAAAAUCCAGAAAUACCUUUCAAAAAUCUCUGUUUUCUUGCCUUGUGCUGAAAGUUGUUUCAAAGAGGCUCGGAGCAUCAUCCUGACAAAAGGAAUAUGCACAACUCAACCUGCCUGCCAAUAACGAGACACAAAAAGUGAGAGGAAAGAAAACGAAAUUUGGACCUAUGUGGUGGAUUUUGGAAGCGAACGAACACGCAACGUUCCAAGGGUCUUUUUCUUUUUUGGACGAGAUUAAGAAGGCAGGGGCAAUGCCAAAGGUUUUUUCCUGCCCUCUUUUAAAAAACAGUCUUGCAGCAGCUUGGGCUCUGGCUAUGCUCAAUCUCCACCUGCACGUUGCUAGGGAAAAAGCACUGGAAAUGUCUCCGCUAAUUCCAGGAUAUAGAUGCGGCCGGGCCUUAUAAUUGUGCAGCUCCUGCACUCUCCAUACGCAAUAUAAAUCAUAUCCAGUACAGCGGUAUCCAGCCAGGCGAGCAAGCUAUCCGGCAACCGGCUCCCAGCCCAGACAAAUUGCAUCCCCAGUGGAGGAGAAGAAGAGGCAGGAAACGAUGGGCUGAAUGACUGGCAAGGGAGAGAGAGGGAGAAAGGAGAGGGGAGCUUCCAGACAGAGUGACCUACAUUUAACAGUCUGGAGUUAAAGACAGAGGGAGAGGGAGAGAGAAAGAGAGAGACAGAGAGAAAUGUAUGAAGAAAAACAAGUCCUCAGGGAUCAGUGUUAAGGACAAGAGCAGGAAUUGCACUUGAAGGAGAGGAAAUGACAUGGGUAAUGGAAGAGGACACACAGGCAUCUGUCAAGGAAAAUCGAGGCUGGGAAGGGGGAGAAAAUGAUUUAUUCAUGAAAGAGAAUUACACUGCUUUCACCUUCUUGAAUAGGCUUGAUCAGAAUCCUAUAUUUCCUUUAACUCUUUAAAGAAAAAGGUGGUGGGGAGCACUUCUUCCAUCAGACUGUAAGAGCUUUUUAUGCACUGCUCAGACUUUUUUGGUUUAUAUUCAUUUUAUGGUUUCCAACACAUUUUAAACAAAUGCCACGCACAUUGCAUUCGUGAUGCGAGCUUCAUGAACGCACAAGUACAGCCAGCUCUUUCUGAUCUCUUUUGGUUUUGCUCACACAACAAAUUCCAACAUCACUGAAUUAUUUACUUAUACCUACAGUCAUAAAACAAAUGUUGCUAAUUUUAUUAGUAGGAUUUCUAGUUCACAUCUACUGUAAGUAACAAAAAAACAAUGGAAAUAUCCUAGAGAAGCAUUUACGAUUGUGUUUGUUAGCAUUCAUUCUUGCUCUCUCUCUGUACACGAGUCCAGGACAGAACACACUUUGCCCUGAGACAUGUGAAUUUAUAAAUAGAGUGUUAUUUCCCCUCAUUGGAGCACUCUGGCAGCUUAAAUAAUCACUAACAAGGCUUCUGCUUGCCUUGUAACCCUGACAGAUACUUGCCUUGUUUGACAAGCUUGUUUUUGCUACUGUGCUCUCUCUGUAUAUCAGUAUAAUAAGGUUGACCUUUGCAUAAACAUUCACACAAAGAAUCAGUAGCAUCCCCCAUUUUCUAUACCCUCGUCUUCCCACAUCAUAUAUGACAGGUCCAUUAUUUGUAAAUGGCAACUACACAGCACAUCUCUUGCUUUAAGCCACUUAGAGUAAAUCACAUCUGUCGGCAAUGGUGUUUUCUGUCUCUGUCAAAAUUGCCUACUACUAAAUGUACUUAUAUUUUUUCCUCUGUUGUUCUCACUUUUAUCUUGUUUCCUAUUGAAACCUGGUUUGUAAAUGUCUCUAAAAUCCCAAGGGAGAUGAAAAAAGCCUUCAUGGCUGGCACUACUUCAACAUUGCCUAGUCUAUUAUUAGCCAAGUACAUGGUGGACAAUGCUAGUUGUCAGUAACAGUCAUAAAAGUGCUGCAGAAUUGGAGAUUUUAUGCAGGACUUCAACGCCAGGAAGCAAAUGCACUCUGCUCCAUGGUCCUUAAUGUAACCGCCAUCUAUUUGAUGUCAGUGAGGAGUCUUGGUUCUCGGCAGGUUUUGUUUUAAAUGUGCUUCAAAUAGUAUAGUGAUUUUUUUUAUAACUCAAAUACAGUUUAUUUUUUAAACAUAGUAAUUUUAGCUAAAUAUAAAUACAGAUAUAUGAAUAUAUUCCUAAUAAUAGAGGCAUUUAACAAGUAAAUGUGUUGUAGUGUUGCUGAAUCUGGUUUCUAAAUGAAUGUGUGCUAUGUUUCUCUUUAGUGUUGCUUUGUGUUUGACCCAUAAAGUAAAUUCCAAAGGUGGUAGAUGUGCUGGAAAAUAAUCCACAUCCAUGGUGAUGUAAGACUUUUUAGCAACAACUACGUUCAACAAAUGCCACAUUUCUGUUUCAAUAGACCAUUAGACGCUAAAUACUAAAAAAAAACGCAUUCAUUCUAAAUAUCAUUUAACAUUUUUAUUUCUUUAAUACAAAUGGUAAUGAGAAUUUUGAAAAACCCAGGCUUGUAGUCUUAACGCUCUCAUCAGUGCCAUGACACUCGUCCUCCUUGUGGUUUAUUUCUAAUGUCACAUUGAGUCUGAAUUAAUGGAAAUAACCGGCACACCAGGAGGUAAUGUUGGCACAGUAAUGCUCAUGGAUCAACCGGUGAACUGACCGCAUAGCAUUACAUUAAUCAAGGAAAAAAUGUUUUUGCCUCUUAUAAGUCACGUCCUUCACAUUAAGCUUCCUCACUGUGUCUAAUACAGUUUUGUCCUCAGUAGGCGGAAAAAGUGCUAUAUUAUUCCUCAUUAUAUUCUUUUUUGUUGUCUCAGUCAUCUGCUUCCAAGACAGCACUGUUCCCUUUUCAUUAACUCUUCCUGCUCAGAUGCAUUAGAGCCGACUGUUCUAAUUAUUAUAUGAAAUGUUAGGCCUUAAUAAGACAACAAGGCAAUAAAGACUAAAUAACAGGAAGUAUCCUUAAACUAUUUGAAUGAAGAACAAAUUGUUCACCUUUCUCCUGCUGACUUGUAGUUAUAUCUGAUGUGUGAAAGGAGGAAAGUUAACAUAUACUGUUGUGAUGGAUUGUGAUGUAGUCAGUUUGACUAUCGGCUCUGAAGUCUGUCUGAUGCAUUAAGCUAAGCAAAAGGCAUUUCUUUCAAAUGAUUCAUCUAAUUUCCUCCUUUCUUACUGACUUCCACAAAUAAUGGCAAGCGAAUCACUUUGAUGCUGUUAUGUCGUUUAUAUUUUAAUACAGCUGGUCAUCUUUGGUUAACAGCCAGUAAAUCCAGCAAGGCAAACACUAAAUGAUCAGGUAACAGGUAAGUGGUUGUACACUAAGUUUUCUGUAAGUAUAUUUCAAAAGAACUGUACAAGGCAGCUAUUUGUGAAAAAUAUGAUUAAAAUUAUUUUUCAAAACGCUGAUUUUGUGACGUCUUUCUGCUUCUGCACAUGAUGACAGAAAUACAGAAAAUAAAAUCACUUCCAAAGUAAGCACAAGAUUUGUGAUGUGUGUAGAGCUCCUCUGU
Molecule: long non-coding RNA, 4115 nt
Organism: Haplochromis burtoni (Burton's mouthbrooder)
Lineage: Eukaryota; Metazoa; Chordata; Actinopteri; Cichliformes; Cichlidae
Exons: 2
Source: RefSeq, a predicted model, not a curated record